AUACACAGAGGUAUUUUCUCAAGGCAUGCUAAUUUAAAAAAAAAAAAAAAAAAAGACCUGGAAAAUCACUUGUAGUUUUAGAGGAUUCAGAGAACUUUCAGAAAACAACAACUUUGGAAUUGUUGUAGCAGCUGUUAUAAUCUAUUAUGUAAAUCAUCUGGGAAUUAAAACAAAAUAUUUUGUAAGGCAGUUUUUGUCAAAUAAUAAAUGUGCUAUCAGUUAGACUUAAUGUUUUUCCAGGGGUGUUAUUAUCUGAUGCAAGUGAAACCUUAGAGUACUCCUUAUUUUGACUGAUGAGGAUUUAAUAUUUAUUUAUAGCUGUGCCAAUGAUAACACCCGUGUAUCUGUUCAAGAGAACAUAUGUUUCUCAAAAUUGGGUGUUGGAACUUACACUGUUGAUUCAUACCAAGUUAUAUUUGUCUUUAAGGUGUCACCUAAAUAUUCUCACCAAAUUAAAUCAGAGAUACUAGGAGAUAAAUAUGUGAAAAAAACCUCCAAAAGCCGUGUCUUUGGUCAGAUUGUUAUUUACUUUCAUGUUCACUUAUAUGACUAUAAGUCCCUUUGCAGAAAGUCAGUGGUUACACUUCCUUGCUUGAGUGUUAUAAACCGGCGUUUAAAAGAACAAGAAUCAGGCCCUUUAAUUCAUUUUUGCCCUUCUAUAUGGGGUAUUUGUUGCUGCUGCUGGUGCAACGUGUCAGUUCAUCAGCCUGUUGACUAAAGUACAGUAUGAUUUCACUAAUGACUGGGAUGCAGACUGCAGAUUAUCACAUUUUGCAAAUUAGUGAGUAAUCAAACAAACACCAUAAAAAUCAAGGAUACUGCAUAAUGAAAUAUACUUUAUUCAGUUAUUUUUACAACCAUAUAUUAGUUUUAAUUAUUUGUGUUAAUAAUUCAUUGGGUGCUAACACAUGGAAUGUGUUUUUUAAAAAAAUAUGUUUUAGAAGCCAAAGCCCUUGUUGUAGGACUCUCAUAUUCAGUCCUUUGUGAGAAGAUGGGUGAGUGCUUCUUUCUUCACUGAGGGUCCUGUUCCAGAGAUAAUCCCUGAGAAGAUCUUAAAGUCCUUGCAGUCAGCCUGAUCCAUCCUUGUAGAGAGGCUGAGGAUGAGUGGCUGUCACCUUGGGAAGGUCACUGUAGCUGGGCUGGCUGCUUGCCUGUUUUGGCUUCCAAAGAGCUGAUGAAGAGAAACUCAUUCUGGGCAGAUUAGAGCAGGAGCCUGACUUGGGUGCUCUUGGCCACUCACUGGAGGAAAUCUACCCGUCCUGCUCCUUCACUUCCCUCCUUCCACCUCCUUUCCCGGUCCCUAGAGCAAGCACAGAGCAUGAGUAACACCAGAUUGUAUCCUUUACCCACCUUUUUCUUGUGUAACAGCUAGUAAUGAAUCAGGGACUGCAAGCUGCUCUACCAGGCAGCAGUUGCCUGCAGGGAGGGCAGUGGUCUCCAGUUCAUGCAUCCCUGGGUUCCCUUUUGAGACAUCCACCUUCAGCGCCAAUUGCUGCCUGCUGCCCAGCUGGGCAGAAAUCCUGCAUUCUGUGUCUGUGGGAUGAAUCCAGUCUCUCCUGAGCUCAGUUUGGAUCUCUGACAUGGAGGAGAACAUCCCCCCAGGGUCUUUAUUUCUUGCCGUACCUUUAAGAAACAUACUGGUUUUUAGAAGUGCCAAGGUUAGUGAGAACUGCAGCUACCUAACAACCAGAAGUCACUACAAACGGUUGAGUAUGAACCAUAAAGGCAUUGUGAAGCUUUGCCAUAAAAAGAGUACUCUCUUAAUCUGCUAAGUCUGACUGUCUGUCAGUGCAGCUGGGGACAAACUGGCCUGAUCAGACUUAACCCUUCGGCAUCAGUGCACCCAUGUCAAGAACGACUUAUAUUUCAAUCAUUUUGCAGGUUUAAGCGGGGGCCAAAUAGAACCCAGGUCAUCCAAAGACUCCUACAAACACACAGCUGACUUUCUCCCCUUCAAACCUAGCCAAUGGUUGUGCUUUUUCCCUUGGCAAGUGGGUGUGUGAGAAAUAUGACUAUUUCUAAAUAAGAAAACCUCAGACAUUUACAUGAGAACAUCUCUCAAGGUCAUAAAAUAUGUGUGCCGAAGACAAAAGGAUAAUAAUUUGACCAUAAUUUGUGUGGGGGCUUUCAGCAAGAAAGUGGAAUGCAUAUUUUAAAUACAUUUUUUUGUCUAGUAAUUUAAUUUCUCAGGAAAUGCUGCCAUUAAUAUUUUAUUUUGAGCACUGGGGUGCAAGUGGUAUUACCCAUGUUUCUCUUUACUCCUUGACAGUACAUUCAACACCAAACACUUGUUCCAGUAACAUAUUUGUCCCCUGGUAAACGCAUUUUUUUUUUGUUUUUUUUGUUUUCUUUUACUUUGUCUCUCUGUCUUUCCUCCCCCUCCCACCCAGCAUCCCUCACUUAUAAAAAGAACUAAUGUUUAGAAAGGCUGGAAAAAUAACAAGAUGGAGUGACACAUGAAAAACUGUGAUUUUUCCCAGUGAAAUUAGAAACAGGGUCUCUUUAACAUGGAAAUUUGAUUUCUUCACAAUUUGAAGACUUAUUUCUGCAACUGUCACAUACGUAAAAUUUCCAGUGAAGUCAAAGAGGCCUUUGAAUACAAAGAAACAGCACAAUCAAGCUCUGAAUAUAUAUAUUCCAUACGCCUUUCUCUCUCUCCCAGUGAUGUACAUGCUACAGUAAUUUCAUUCAGAUAAAACUGUCAUAAUUUUAAUUUUUACAGUCCUUAAACUGUUUAAAAUAAUAAAAUUAAUAAAAACAA
Molecule: long non-coding RNA, 2761 nt
Organism: Apus apus (common swift)
Lineage: Eukaryota; Metazoa; Chordata; Aves; Apodiformes; Apodidae
Exons: 2
Source: RefSeq, a predicted model, not a curated record